AGAGUUUGAUCCUGGCUCAGGAUGAACGCUAGCGGCAGGCCUAAUACAUGCAAGUCGAACGGGAGUCUCCGGCCUUCGGGCGGAGUGAGAGUGGCGCACGGGUGCGUAACGCGUAUGCAACCAACCCCGCACUGGGGGACAGCCGGUGGAAACGCCGGGUAAUACCCCAUGCCGACCUUGAGGGACAUCCCUUGCGGUCGAAAGACGCGAGUCGGUGCGGGACGGGCAUGCGUCCCAUUAGCUAGUUGGCGGGGCAACGGGCCCACCAAGGCCACGAUGGUAGGGGAUCUGAGAGGACGGUCCCCCACACUGGUACUGAGACACGGACCAGACUCCUACGGGAGGCAGCAGUAAGGAAUAUUGGGCAAUGGGGGAACCCUGACCCAGCCAUGCCGCGUGAGGGAUGUAGGCCCUACGGGUCGUGAACCUCUUUUGUCGGGGGACAAGGACAUGGUCGGGAACCAUGUUUGCGGGUACUCGGCGAAUAAGCAUCGGCUAACUCCGUGCC
Molecule: ribosomal RNA, 508 nt
Filed under: uncultured bacterium
Lineage: Bacteria
Description: bacterial SSU rRNA
Rfam family: Bacterial small subunit ribosomal RNA
Source: RNAcentral